RNAcentral lists this ribosomal RNA (404 nucleotides) under uncultured Hyphomonas sp. RNAcentral describes it as "bacterial SSU rRNA". It matches the Rfam family "Bacterial small subunit ribosomal RNA", at positions 378 to 774 of the family's 1533-position model. Lineage: Bacteria; Pseudomonadati; Pseudomonadota; Alphaproteobacteria; Hyphomonadales; Hyphomonadaceae. The record is from RNAcentral.
AAAGCCUGACGCAGCGACGCCGCGUGAGGGAUGAAGGUUUUCGGAUCGUAAACCUCUGUCAGAAGGGAAGAAACCGCACCGUGCUAAUCAGCGGUGCCUUGACGGUACCUUCAAAGGAAGCACCGGCUAACUCCGUGCCAGCAGCCGCGGUAAUACGAAGGGGGCUAGCGUUGUUCGGAAUUACUGGGCGUAAAGCGCACGUAGGCGGACUUUUAAGUCAGGUGUGAAAUCCCGGGGCUCAACCUCGGAACUGCAUUUGAAACUGGAAGUCUUGAGAUCAGGAGAGGUUAGCGGAAUACCGAGUGUAGAGGUGAAAUUCGUAGAUAUUCGGUGGAACACCAGUGGCGAAGGCGGCUAACUGGACUGAUACUGACGCUGAGGUGCGAAAGUGUGGGGAGCAAACA